This 429-nucleotide ribosomal RNA is filed under the name Chloroflexota bacterium. RNAcentral's name for it is "Chloroflexi bacterium partial 16S ribosomal RNA". It matches the Rfam family "Bacterial small subunit ribosomal RNA", at positions 355 to 776 of the family's 1533-position model. Lineage: Bacteria; Bacillati; Chloroflexota. The record is from RNAcentral.
UGGGGAAUAUUGCACAAUGGGCGCAAGCCUGAUGCAGCCAUGCCGCGUGUAUGAAGAAGGCCUUCGGGUUGUAAAGUACUUUCAGUCGGGAGGAAGGUGGUAAGGUUAAUAACCUUGGCAAUUGACGUUACCGACAGAAGAAGCACCGGCUAACUCCGUGCCAGCAGCCGCGGUAAUACGGAGGGUGCAAGCGUUAAUCGGAAUUACUGGGCGUAAAGCGCACGCAGGCGGUUGAUUGAGUCAGAUGUGAAAUCCCCGGGCUCAACCUGGGAACUGCAUCUGAUACUGGCAAGCUUGAGUCUCGUAGAGGGGGGUAGAAGUCCAGGUGUAGCGGUGAAAUGCGUAGAGAUCUGGAGGAAUACCGGUGGCGAAGGCGGCCCCCUGGACGAAGACUGACGCUCAGGUGCGAAAGCGUGGGGAGCAAACAGG